GAUGAACGCUGGCGGCGUGCCUAACACAUGCCAGUCGAGCGAAGCACUUACUUUAGAUUUCUUCGGAAUGACGAAGUUUGUGACUGAGCGGCGGACGGGUGAGUAACGCGUGGGCAACCUGCCCUGUACAGGGGGAUAACAGUUAGAAAUGACUGCUAAUACCGCAUAAGCCCACAGCUUCGCAUGAAGCAGUGGGAAAAACUCCGGUGGUACAGGAUGGGCCCGCGUCUGAUUAGCUAGUUGGUAAGGUAACGGCUUACCAAGGCGACGAUCAGUAGCCGACCUGAGAGGGUGACCGGCCACAUUGGGACUGAGACACGGCCCAAACUCCUACGGGAGGCAGCAGUGGGGAAUAUUGCACAAUGGGGGAAACCCUGAUGCAGCGACGCCGCGUGAGCGAUGAAGUAUUUCGGUAUGUAAAGCUCUAUCAGCAGGGAAGAAAGUGACGGUACCUGACGAAGAAGCCCCGGCUAACUACGUG
Molecule: ribosomal RNA, 481 nt
Filed under: uncultured bacterium
Lineage: Bacteria
Description: partial 16S ribosomal RNA
Rfam family: Bacterial small subunit ribosomal RNA
Source: RNAcentral